AUGCUUCUAAAUACUGAAUUUGUUAAUCUCAUGUCUGAGUCAGUCUUUAAACAAGCUGUAUUAAGCUGAUGUAAUCUAUGCUGAAUGACAUUUUUCUAUUUUGUAUAUACUUACUUAACUAUUAGGUUUUUUACAUUGAUCUAUUUAUGCUUGUGUUUGGUACACUGGUUUAUAAGUUUCAACACUUUUAGGCUCGAUUUGUUGAUUGUAAAAUAUUUCUUAACUGCCAAGGAGGCCUGGAAUUAAGCAUCUUUGAGUUUUGUGACUUGAGUUUUGUUUUAGAACCGGAGAGACCUGAGCAAGCCGAUAAAAUGGCUAUACUUGAUGAUGCUAUCAGAGUUUAAGCUGAAGAACUCAAACAAACUAAUGAAAAAUUGUUAGAAGAAAUAAAAUGUUCUAAUAUGAUAUUGUAAGGCAGCCACUUUGAAAAGAUAUCCAGCACAGUUGUUCCUUACUACAUGGAUGUGCUUUGUUGGAGCAGCACAAUCAGCUGUUUUCACAGUCUUAAUUAUAGGGCAUAAACCUUCAGCUUGGACUAUAGGGUUCAACAUUGACCUGUGGUCCACAUUAUAUGGUGGAAUUGUGAUAGCCGGUUUGAUAAUAUACAUUCAGCUGUGGUGCACUGAGAAAAAGGGGCCAGUCUUCGUUACAAUGACUACCCCCGUUUGUACCAUUCUUGCUGCAAUUUUAGCAUACUUUGUCUUUGGUGAGAAACUUGGGGCCAGUCUUCGUUACAAUGACUACCCCCGUUUGUACCAUUCUUGCUGCAAUUUUAGCAUACUUUGUCUUUGGUGAGAAACUUUACCUCGGCAGCAUUAUAGGCGCAACUUUUGUCAUCAUUGGUCUAUACUUGCUGUUGUGGGGCAAAGAAGGCGACCAAAAGAUUCAUGUCAACACCAAACCGUGCAAUGGUGAAGAUUCAAAAUACAUACUACAAUCUACAAUCAGUACCUUAGACUUGAAAGGGAGAAAUGCAAAUCCAAGUAGAGGAAAAGUAAAACGAAUAAGUCAUUAAAACGUUUAGUUUUGUGUAAUAUAUACAGUUUAAGAUUUCCAAUUUUAACUCUAUCAAAUCUGCAUCAAGUUAACUUUAUUAUAAAAUUUUUAUAAUCUCCAUUUUUACAUUUUACACAAUUGAAAUAUGUAUUAUAUAAAGGUAUCAUCUUAGAAUUUUGAGAAUAUCCUUUUCAAAAUUCAAAAGGAAUUUGUGACAACA
Non-coding RNA from Arachis ipaensis, 1216 nucleotides. The record is from RefSeq and is a predicted model, not a curated record. Lineage: Eukaryota; Viridiplantae; Streptophyta; Magnoliopsida; Fabales; Fabaceae.